Molecule: long non-coding RNA, 923 nt
Filed under: Sus scrofa (pig)
Lineage: Eukaryota; Metazoa; Chordata; Mammalia; Artiodactyla; Suidae
Description: lncRNA (ENSSSCG00015063763.1)
Source: RNAcentral
UGCAUUACCACCGACCAGUCCUCAGCCGGCAACAUGAAGCUGGGUGGCCUCUGCCUCCUGCUCCUCCUCGCCGUCCUUCUCACCCUCAAUGCAGAGUUCCAAGCAGUUGAUGUAGGUAUCUGUGUGACGGAGUGCAAGGUAGACCAGGACUGUGGGGCAGGAAGACGAUGCACCAGCAAUGGAUGUGGCCGGGUCUGCUCCCCAGUCCGGCGAAGAGAGGCCUGCGAGCACCAGUGCAGAGAAGACAGGGACUGUGGGAGUGGACAUCCGUGCGUGAGGAAGGGCUGUGGGCACGUCUGCGCCCCCGUCCAUCAAGUCGAUGUAGGGAUCUGUGUGACGGAGUGCAAGGUAGACCAGGACUGUGGGGCAGGAAGACGAUGCACCAGCAAUGGAUGUGGCCGGGUCUGCUCCCCAAUCCAGCGAAGAGAGGCCUGCGAGCACCAGUGCAGAGAAGACAGGGACUGUGGGAGUGGACAUCAGUGCGUGAGGAAGGGCUGUGGGCACGUCUGCGCCCCCGUCCAUCAAGUCGAUGUAGGUAUCUGUGUGACGGAGUGCAAGGUAGACCAGGACUGUGGGGAAGGAAGACGAUGCACCAGCAAUGGAUGUGGCCGUGUCUGCUCCCCAGCCCAGCAAAGAGAGGCCUGCGAGCACCAAUGCAGAGAAGACAAGGACUGUGGGAGUGGACAUCAGUGCGUGAGGAAGGGCUGUGGGCACGUCUGCUCCCCCAUCCCUCAAGUAGGUGAGUCUGGACUUUCUGUAGAGUGAAAUGGACUUGAGCUUUCAAGGCAAAUGUCCUUGGAUUCAAAUCCCAACUCUGCUGUUGACCAGACAGCCCCUUCAUGUCCUCAAUCUAUGAAAUACAAAAUAAGAAAACUUAGCAGUUAAAGCCCAUUUGGGUUACCAUUAACCUGCUUUCUUUGCAG